RNAcentral lists this ribosomal RNA (537 nucleotides) under Johora johorensis. RNAcentral's name for it is "16S rRNA". It matches the Rfam family "Bacterial large subunit ribosomal RNA", at positions 1831 to 2625 of the family's 2925-position model. The record is from RNAcentral. Lineage: Eukaryota; Metazoa; Arthropoda; Malacostraca; Decapoda; Potamidae.
GUCUGUUUGAAGAUAUAAAGAGUCUAGCCUGCCCACUGAUUUAUAAGUUAAAGGGCCGCAGUAUUAUGACUGUGCAAAGGUAGCAUAAUUAUUAGAUUUUUAAUUGGAAUCUUGUAUGAAUGGUUGGACAAAAGAAUAACUGUCUUUAAAUUAAUUUUGAAUUUAACUUUUAAGUGAAAAGGCUUAAAUAUUCUAAAAGGACGAUAAGACCCUAUAAAACUUUACAUUAUAAUUAUAUUUUUUUGAAUUUAAUAUAAAAAUUUAAUUUAAUUAUUUGUUAUAUUGGGGAGAUAUAAGUCAAAUGAGUUUUAACUGCUUAAAAUUAAAACAAUUAUAUAUGAAUAAAAGAUCCUUUAUAAAGAUUAAAAAAUUAAGUUACUUUAGGGAUAACAGCGUUAUUUCUUUAGAGAGUUCUUAUCGAGAAAGAAGAUUGCGACCUCGAUGUUGAAUUAAAAUAUCUAUAUAAUGUAGUGGUUAUAUUAGAAGGUCUGUUCGACCUUUAAAAUUUUACAUGAUUUGAGUUCAAACCGGUGUGAG